CUUGAUUUGACGAUUUGAGACUUCAACUUGAGCGCUUGUUUGAGGAUGGUAGGAAAGGGAAACUUUGUGAGUAACACCAUACUUUUUAACAAGAUGCUCAAAGACGCAAUUACAGAAAUGCUUACCCCCAUCACUAAUGAUACCCUUGGGGUGCCAAACCUACUAAAGAUAAACUCCCUUAUGAAUGAAAUAACAAUUUUGUGAUCAUUGGUCCUAGUGGCAAUGGCCUCUAUCUAUUUAGAAACGUAAACCACUGCAAGAAGGAUGUAUUGAUUUUAGACAUUAAUCAAAUAAAUAAGUUAAAAAAAACUAUCAAGGAAAAACUAUCCUUUAUGAACUCCAUGUGUGGGGUUUUUAUAAGUAAAAAGGGUUUGGGUGAAAUAAUAAAACAUGGUUGAGUGAAACAAGGAAACAUGAUUUGAGUUAAACAAUGAAACACGGUUGAAUGAAACAAGGAAUGGUUGAGUGAAACAAUGAAUGGUGUUGGAGUUGAAUAAGGAAACAUGUCUUGUAAAAAAAAUUAUGAUAAAGUUGGCCAUGUGGACGUCCAAAUCUUCAUAUUAAUUUUCUCAAGAUUCGUAGUUGUUGUUGUUUUGUGGGCUUGACUUCAUGGGUCUUAGGAUUGAAAUUCUUUAAUCCUUAUGAAUGCAUUUAAACUCCAAUUGAGCAUUCUAGUUGUUGAAUUUAGCCUUAUUGUGCAACUUUAUGCAUGAUUUGAUAUUUGUGUUUGAAUUUCUACAAAAUGCACAAAAACACAUGUAAUGAGGUAUUUUUAUUUGAUAAUUAGAAUUAAAAAUUGUAUAUUUAGAGGUGUAAAAUCGAUGUUUCGUGUGCUUAUCACACCACCCCCAAACAACAUUUUGCUAGUCCUCUAGCAAAAAACAACGAAAAGAAAGAUAAGAACACAAAACAAUGCCACUUUCGCUGGUACGACUCAAUUGCAUUUACAAUAUGAAACAGCGCCUUUAGCCCCUAACAUGACUCUAAAAGAUGAGUUUUAGCCUCCUGAGGAUUAUCCAGGAUGACACCCACAAACAAUUUUUUUACAUGAAACAAAAUUGAUGUGUGACCUAUUUUUCUCAGAGAAUGUCCCUGUUAUUCAACAACAUAGAAAACAAGAGACAUAUGUAACUUCUUAGUAAAAUGCACAUUACAAGUUAGCAACUUUGGAACAAGGUGUGUGUGUGUAUCAAUAACCAACAAAUGCAAUUUUUUGUGUCAAAGUAACGUACAUCCUAAUCCACAUUUGGAAUAGCCGUUUUGACUUCAAAACUCACAAGUUAAUCUCUCUGAAAUGAUCACUCUGAGUUUGGGUUAAAUAUUUUCUCUCUUGCAUGUGAGGAAAAGAGAAAAUGCAAAAAUUCAAACUUCUCACAUGCUCAUAAGAAUAAACAGACAUGAAAGAGAAUAAUAGUCUCAUGGAAGGAAUGAUGAUCACUUGCAAACAUGUCGAAUUACUCACAAUAGUGUCUUUUCAUCUACUCUCCACUUCUUACCAUACCUUACCAUAGGAUUAAUUAAGACUUCUCUAAAAUAAAAAUGAAUCUGGCUUUUUUUUUUCUUCAACCUGCAAUACACUUCAACAAUGCAUAGUGGAAGUAGGGGUUAUCGACUAUUUCACGUGGAUUAGAAGACAAAUCUGAUUUUUAAUUUAAAGAAUAAAGAAAAAAGUAAAAUAAUGGAUGGUGAAAAUAAACUAAAAGUUAAAAAAUAAAGAGAAACAAAGAUAAAACUUACUUCGUCAAUAGAAUUAAAAUGUAGUACAUGCACUUUUCUACGAAGUAAAAAUAUAAAUCCAAGAACUACAACUAAAAACCGACAUUGAUGUCGUUGCAUGAUUCUCGACAUCAAUCAAAGAAAUAUCUUUUGUUUUUAUUUAAUUUUUUCCUUCAACCUGCAAUACACUUCAACAAUGCAUAGUGGAAGUAGGGGCUAUCAACUAUUUCACGUGGAUUUGCCUACUCAGUGUCGGAAGGUCAAGGAAGUUGGUGGCCUGAUGAUAGGAGAGACAUCGACAGAAGCCCCGAUGAAUGGCGACCGUAACUAUAAUGGUCUUAUUCCUUGUCGGGUAAAUUUUGGCCCGCACGAAAGGCGUAACGAUCUGGGCACUGUCUCGGAGAGAGGCUCAGUGAAAUAGACAUGUCUGUGAAGAUGCGGACUACCUGCACCUAGAUAGAAAGACCCUAUGAAGCUUUACCUUUCCCCGGGAUUGGCUUUGGGCCUUUCCUGCACAUCUUAGGUGGACAGCAAAGAAGGCCUUCUUCUAGGGGGCCUGAGCCAUCAGUGAGAUACCUCUCUAGAAGAGCUAGAAUUCCAACCUAGUGUCAGGACCUACGGGCCAAGGGACAUUCUCUGGUAGAUAGUUUCUAUGAGGCGUAGGCCUCCCAAAAGGUAACGGAAGCGUGCAAAGGUUUCUUCAUGCAGAACGGAGAUUGGCCCUCGAGUGCAAAGGCAGAAGGGAGCUUGACUACCAGACCCACCCAUCGAGCAGGGACGAAAUUCGGCCUUAGUAAUCUGAUGGUGUCGAGUGGAAGAGUUGUCGCUCAACGGAUAAAAGUUACUCUAGGGAUAACAGGUUGAUCUUCCCCAAGAGUUCACAUGGAUGGGAAAGUUUGGCACCUCGAAGUCGGCUCUUCGCCACCUGGGGCUGUAGUAUGUUCCAAGGGUUGGGUUGUUCGCCCAUUACAGCAGUAUGUGAGCUGGGUUCAAAAUGUCAUGAGACAGUUCGAUCCAUAUCCGGUGUGGGCGUUAGAGCAUUGAGAGGACCUUUCCCUAGUACGAGAGGACCGGGAAGGACGCACCUCUAGUAUACCAGUUAUCGUGCCCACGGUCAACGCUGGGUAGCCAAGUGCGGAGUGGAUAACUACUGAAAGCACCUAAGUAGUAAGCCCACCCCAAGAUGAGUACUGUCCUAUUUCGACUUCCCUAGAGCCUCCGGUAGCACAGCCGGGACAACGACGGGUUCUCUACCUCUAUGGAGAUGGAGCGACAAAAGUUUUGAAAAUCCAACAAAAGAUCACUGCGACGAGC
Molecule: ribosomal RNA, 3030 nt
Filed under: Berberis thunbergii
Lineage: Eukaryota; Viridiplantae; Streptophyta; Magnoliopsida; Ranunculales; Berberidaceae
Description: bacterial LSU rRNA
Rfam family: Bacterial large subunit ribosomal RNA (bases 1589-2979)
Source: RNAcentral